This 497-nucleotide ribosomal RNA is filed under the name uncultured bacterium. RNAcentral's name for it is "partial 16S ribosomal RNA". It matches the Rfam family "Bacterial small subunit ribosomal RNA", at positions 28 to 507 of the family's 1533-position model. The record is from RNAcentral.
GAUGAACGCUGGCGGCGUGCCUAAUACAUGCAAGUCGAGCGAACGGACGAGAAGCUUGCUUCUCUUAUGUUAGCGGCGGACGGGUGAGUAACACGUGGAUAACCUACCUAUAAGACUGGGAUAACUUCUGGAAACCGUAGCUAAUACCGGAUAAUAUUUUGAACCGCAUGGUUCAAAAGUGAAAGACGGUCUUGCUGUCACUUAUAGAUGGAUCCGCGCUGCAUUAGCUAGUUGGUAAGGUAACGGCUUACCAAGGCAACGAUGCAUAGCCGACCUGAGAGGGUGAUCGGCCACACUGGAACUGAGACACGGUCCAGACUCCUACGGGAGGCAGCAGUAGGGAAUCUUCCGCAAUGGGCGAAAGCCUGACGGAGAAACGCCGCGUGAGUGAUGAAGGUCUUCGGAUCGUAAAACUCUGUUAUUAGGGAAGAACAUAUGUGUAAGUAAAUGUGCACAUCUUGACGGUACCUAAUCAGAAAGCCACGGCUAACUACGUG